AAGUCGUAACAAGGUUUCCGUAGGUGAACCUGCGGAAGGAUCAUUAACACGUAUCCACGUAUCCACCCUUUAGUGCAUUUGUUUUCAUCUCUCCCUUCAUCUCACAUGAAUUGGCUAGUGUUGUAUUCGAUCAGUUGAAUAGGUCGCUUCUGCGUCAUUCGAUACAACAUGACAUUACAAUUGGAGUGAGUAUGGUAGGUUUAUCUUUUCUUUUUCACCUUUCCUUUCGCUAACCUUCUCUAUUCACGAAGGUUUCCGAUUGGAUCGAAAAAGAAAUCCAUCAUACACACCUUUCACAACAAUUUUUGCUAGUUGACUUUUUUUCAGCGUUGAUUAGUUUUCCUAAUUGACACGUUUGAAAUAUUUUAUUUCAACUUAUUGAAACAACUCUUAGCAAUGGAUAUCUUGGUUCUC
Molecule: unclassified non-coding RNA, 414 nt
Filed under: fungal sp.
Lineage: Eukaryota; Fungi
Description: partial internal transcribed spacer region
Rfam family: Eukaryotic small subunit ribosomal RNA (bases 1-46)
Source: RNAcentral